CGCAUCUGUGCAUGCAGCAUAUCAAUAAGCGGAGGAAAAGAAACUAACAAGGAUUCCCUCAGUAACGGCGAGUGAAGCGGGAAGAGCCUCAAAUUUGAAAUCUUGAAAGGUCACCUUUCACGAAUUGUAGUUUAAAGAAGUGUUUUCUGUUACGAUCGUAAUAUAAGUUCUUUGGAAUAGGACAUCACAGAGGGUGAGAAUCCCGUCUAUGAUUGCGAUUUGUAGCUUUGUGAUACACUUUCAAAGAGUCGGGUUGUUUGGGAAUGCAGCCCAAAACGGGAGGUAAAUUUCUUCUAAGGCUAAAUAUUGGCGAGAGACCGAUAGCGAACAAGUACCGUGAGGGAAAGAUGAAAGAGAACUUUGAAAAGAGAGUUAAAUAGUACGUGAAAUUGUCAAAAGGGAAGCGUUUAACACCAGUGUUGUUUUCUGAAAAUCAACCUCUGUUAGCUUUAUGCAUGUUUGUUUAGACCUAAUCAGCUAUCUUGCAUGUUCUAUUGUUUGCAGUGGUGCACUUUUCAGUUUACAGGUCAACAUCAGUUUUUUUUACCGUAAAAAAGUUAAAGAAAGGUAGCUCAUGGCUCCGGUCGUGAGUGUUAUAGUCUUUUUCCUAUGCGGUAGGAGAGACUGAGGUCUGCAGUGUAGGCUAUUUGGCUAGAUACUCAGGUGCUAUGUGAUACCAUUUCAUAAACAACUUGUUGAUUAUGUUUUGUCUAUUGCAUACUCGCUUGUACUAUCAUACCUACGCUUAGGAUGUUGAAGUCAUCGUAUCGCGC
This 773-nucleotide ribosomal RNA is filed under the name uncultured Neocallimastigales. RNAcentral describes it as "partial large subunit ribosomal RNA". It matches the Rfam family "Eukaryotic large subunit ribosomal RNA", at positions 26 to 645 of the family's 3401-position model. Lineage: Eukaryota; Fungi; Neocallimastigomycota; Neocallimastigomycetes; Neocallimastigales. The record is from RNAcentral.